Molecule: ribosomal RNA, 287 nt
Filed under: uncultured bacterium
Lineage: Bacteria
Description: partial 16S ribosomal RNA
Rfam family: Bacterial small subunit ribosomal RNA
Source: RNAcentral
CUUACCUACGGGGGGCAGCAGUGGGGGAUAUUGCACAAUGGGGGAAACCCUGAUGCAGCGACGCCGCGUGAGGGAAGACGGUUUUCGGAUUGUAAACCUCUGUCUUUGGGGACGAAUUGAGACGGUACCCAAGGAGGAAGCUCCGGCUAACUACGUGCCAGCAGCCGCGGUAAUACGUAGGGGGCGAGCGUUAUCCGGAUUCAUUGGGCGUAAAGCGCGCGUAGGCGGCCUGUUAGGUCGGGGGUCAAAUACCGGGGCUCAACCCCGGUCCGCCCCCGAUACCGGCA